This 454-nucleotide ribosomal RNA is filed under the name uncultured soil bacterium. Its description in RNAcentral is "bacterial SSU rRNA". It matches the Rfam family "Bacterial small subunit ribosomal RNA", at positions 26 to 521 of the family's 1533-position model. The record is from RNAcentral.
AGAACGAACGCUGGCGGCAGGCUUAACACAUGCAAGUCGAACGGGCGUAGCAAUACGUCAGUGGCAGACGGGUGAGUAACACGUGGGAACCUUCCUAGGGGUACGGAACAACUCAGGGAAACUUGAGCUAAUACCGUAUACGUCCGUGAGGAGAAAGAUUCAUCGCCCCUAGACGGGCCCGCGUCGGAUUAGGUAGUUGGUGGGGUAAACGGCCUACCAAGCCUACGAUCCGUAGCUGAUCUGAGAGGAUGAUCAGCCACACUGGGACUGAGACACGGCCAGACUCCUACGGGAGGCAGCAGUGGGGAAUCUUGGACAAUGGGCGCAAGCCUGAUCCAGCCAUGCCGCGUGAGUGAAGAAGGCCUUAGGGUUGAAAGCUCUUUUACCAGGGACGAUAAUGACGGUACCUGGAGAAUAAGACCCCGGCAAAACUUCGUGCCGAGCAGCCGACGGU